Long non-coding RNA from Perognathus longimembris pacificus (Pacific pocket mouse), 474 nucleotides. RefSeq lists it as uncharacterized. Lineage: Eukaryota; Metazoa; Chordata; Mammalia; Rodentia; Heteromyidae. The transcript has 4 exons. The record is from RefSeq and is a predicted model, not a curated record.
AGAUCGGAAGAAAAACACUGGGCACGGUAAUGGCCAAUCAAAUCAGGUCACCAUCGCCCUGAUCAUUGCCUCCAGCUUGGGGUUUGUGCUGUUCCUGGCCUUGCUCUCAGCAUUUCUCCUGCGAGGAAAAUUUGUGAAAACCAACUGUUUGCAGAAACACAAGAGGCUGGGCCCCCCUGGAGAAAGCAAAACGGUGCUGGAUGACUUGCAACAUGGCGGAGACGAUGAAGAGGGACUCUUCACUCUGUAACUCAGCACAUCUCUCGGGUACAGGGGAUGACACCCUAGGGCCCAAAUAAGCCCUGGCAUGGUUUGCUUCCAUUUUUGUUGGCUAUUUUCGAAAGUGUCAUCUUUCCCAUGGAGGUAAUGGGCCCAGUCUUGUUUUAAUUUCACACAUGAAAGGUACCAUGGAGACCACAUCAUACGUGUUCUCCAUGCCAUACCUCAGUCAUCCCUGUAGUAUCCUUGCUUGGU